GGAAGUAAAAGUCGUAACAAGGUUUCCGUAGGUGAACCUGCGGAAGGAUCAUUACUGAUUUAGCGAACCGAGCGUUAGCGAGGUUUUGCGAUCAACUUGUAUUUAAAACCCUACUCUUCAAUGUAUAAAAUUUGUAUUAAUGAUAAAUUAAAAGAUCACUUUCAACAACGGAUCUCUUGGCUCUCGCAUCGAUGAAGAACGUAGCGAAGUGCGAUAAGUAAUGUGAAUUGCAGUAUUCCGUGAAUCAUCGAAUCUUUGAACGCAUAUUGCACUUUCUGGUAUUCCGGAAAGUAUGCCUGUUUGAGGGUCAGUUAAAUAAAAAUCGGUGUUGUUGCCGCUUUUCGUGGUGACGCGUCGGAAUUGAGUCGUCUUCGGUUAAGUGACUUAAAAUUUUAUAUGAUUUUCGAACGUAUUUAAAUUUAUUUGAACGUUUGAUAUCGAAUGCUUAUUAGGUUCGGUCAUCCUCAUGACUCGCGCCUAUAAUUUUUCAUUAAAUGACCUCAAAUCAGGUAAGAAUACCCGCUGAACUUAAGCAUAUCAAUAAGCGGAGGA
Molecule: ribosomal RNA, 552 nt
Filed under: uncultured Glomus
Lineage: Eukaryota; Fungi; Glomeromycota; Glomeromycetes; Glomerales; Glomeraceae
Description: eukaryotic LSU rRNA
Rfam family: 5.8S ribosomal RNA (bases 157-310)
Source: RNAcentral